ACGGGAUUUGUAUGGUGCUUGCACCAUGUAAUGAGAGUAGCGCACUGGUGAGUAACACGUGGGAACAUACCUUGAAGUGGGGGACAACAGUUGGAAACGACUGCUAAUACCGCAUAAUCCCUGAGGGGGAAAGAUUUAUCGCUUUAAGAUUGGCCCGCGGAAGAUUAGGUAGUUGGUGGGGUAAAGGCCUACCAAGCCGACGAUCUAUAGCUGGUCUGAGAGGACGAACAGCCACAUUGGAACUGAGACACGGUCCAGACUCCUACGGGAGGCAGCAGUGAGGAAUAUUGGGCAAUGGAGGAAACUCUGACCCAGCCAUGCCGCGUGAGUGAAGAAGGUUUUCGAAUUGUAAAGCUCUUUCGGAUGGGACGAUGAUGACGGUACCAUCUAAAGAAGCCCCGGCAAACUUCGUGCCAGCAGCCGCGGUAAUACGAAGGGGGCAAGCGUUGUUCGGAAUUACUGGGCGUAAAGGGUGUGUAGGCGGAUUUGUAAGAUAGUGGUGAAAUACCUGAGCUCAACUUAGGAAUUGCCAUUAUAACUAUAGAUCUGGAGUGACAGAGAGGAUAUUGGAAUACCCAGUGUAGAGGUGAAAUUCGUAGAUAUUGGGUAGAACACCAGUGGCGAAGGCGAGUAUCUGGCUGUCAACUGACGCUGAGGCACGAAAGCAUGGUGAUCAAACAGGAUUAGAUACCCUGGUAGUCCAUGCUGUAAACGAUGAAUGCUAGUUGUCGGCAAAAGCCGGUGACGCAGUUAACGCGAUAAGCAUUCCGCCUGGGGAGUACGGUCGCAAGAUUAAAACUCAAAGGAAUUGACGGGG
Molecule: ribosomal RNA, 817 nt
Filed under: uncultured bacterium
Lineage: Bacteria
Description: bacterial SSU rRNA
Rfam family: Bacterial small subunit ribosomal RNA
Source: RNAcentral